UACGGAGGGGGCAAGCGUUGUUCGGAAUUAUUGGGCGUAAAGCGUAUGUAGGCGGCCGAUCAAGUUAGACGUGUAAGCCCCCGGCUCAACCGGGGAAUUGCGUUUAAUACUGUUCGGCUUGAGUUCGGAAGAGGAAAGCGGAAUUCCCAGUGUAGCGGUGAAAUGCAUUGAUAUUGGGAAGAACAUCGGUGGCGAAGGCGGCUUUCUGGUCCGAUACUGACGCUGAGAUACGAAAGCCAGGGGAGCGAACGGG
Molecule: ribosomal RNA, 253 nt
Filed under: uncultured bacterium
Lineage: Bacteria
Description: partial 16S ribosomal RNA
Rfam family: Bacterial small subunit ribosomal RNA
Source: RNAcentral